RNAcentral lists this ribosomal RNA (293 nucleotides) under uncultured bacterium. Its description in RNAcentral is "partial 16S ribosomal RNA". It matches the Rfam family "Bacterial small subunit ribosomal RNA", at positions 505 to 796 of the family's 1533-position model. The record is from RNAcentral.
GUGCCAGCAGCCGCGGUAAUACGGAGGAUCCGAGCGUUAUCCGGAAUUACUGGGCGUAAAGAGUUGCGUAGGUGGCAUUGUAUGUCGGUAGUGAAAGCGUGUGGCUCAACCAUAUAUCCAUUAUCGAAACUGCAGGGCUAGAGGACGAGAGAGGUUACUGGAAUUCCUAGUGUAGGGGUAAAAUCCGUUGAUAUUAGGAAGAACACCGAUGGCGUAGGCAGGUAACUGGCUCGUUCCUGACACUAAGGCACGAAAGCGUGGGUAGCAAACAGGAUUAGAUACCCUGGUAGUCC